Molecule: long non-coding RNA, 371 nt
Organism: Fukomys damarensis (Damara mole-rat)
Lineage: Eukaryota; Metazoa; Chordata; Mammalia; Rodentia; Bathyergidae
Exons: 3
Source: RefSeq, a predicted model, not a curated record
CUGAAGGCUAUAAAAGCACAAGUCCGGGCUUCGGCAGCCACCAGGCACCUGCAUCUACCAACGGGACCGGGAGCAGGUCUCCGAGCCGACACCACCUGGGCUGGCUACCUGGAAGGGAAAGAAAUGGGAUUCCUAAGAGUCAGAAGAACAGAGACCGAGGGGUGUGAGAGAAGCCCGGGAGGAAAACGGGGACGCCAGGCAAGUUUUCUGCUGCGCCGAGGCCGAGGCCAGCUCUCCGCCCACUGCAGGAGCGAAUCCCCCGCGUUUCAGCAGCGAGAUCCUGGACAGCGCCGCGCGCUCGGUUUCAACACCGGGGCUGCGGACAGCGCCUCGGCCGUCCGGGCGCGGGAAGGCGCGGCCUUUCUCCCGGA